GGCUGGUCUGAUGGGAGUGGGUUAUCAGAACUUACUAACAUUAGUGUCACUAAAGUUGGUAUUACCCCACCCCCCCACCCCCACUAAAUUUGACUGGCUUUAA
Molecule: unclassified non-coding RNA, 103 nt
Organism: Cavia aperea (Brazilian guinea pig)
Lineage: Eukaryota; Metazoa; Chordata; Mammalia; Rodentia; Caviidae
Rfam family: Y RNA
About the family: Y RNAs are components of the Ro ribonucleoprotein particle (Ro RNP), in association with Ro60 and La proteins. The Y RNAs and Ro60 and La proteins are well conserved, but the function of the Ro RNP is not known.
Source: Ensembl